This 428-nucleotide ribosomal RNA is filed under the name uncultured Polyangiaceae bacterium. RNAcentral's name for it is "bacterial SSU rRNA". It matches the Rfam family "Bacterial small subunit ribosomal RNA", at positions 355 to 776 of the family's 1533-position model. Lineage: Bacteria; Pseudomonadati; Myxococcota; Polyangiales; Polyangiaceae. The record is from RNAcentral.
UGGGGAAUCUUGCGCAAUGGGCGAAAGCCUGACGCAGCGACGCCGCGUGAGUGAUGAAGGCCCUCGGGUUGUAAAGCUCUGUGGAGGGGGACGAAUAAGCGUUGGUCAAUAUCCAGCGUGAUGACGGUACCCUUUUAGCAAGCACCGGCUAACUCUGUGCCAGCAGCCGCGGUAAGACAGAGGGUGCAAACGUUGUUCGGAAUUACUGGGCGUAAAGCGCGUGUAGGCUGCUUCGCAAGUCGGAUGUGAAAGCCCUGGGCUCAACCCAGGAAGUGCAUUCGAAACUGCAGAGCUGGAGUCCUGGAGAGGAAGGCGGAAUUCUCGGUGUAGAGGUGAAAUUCGUAGAUAUCGAGAGGAACACCGGUGGCGAAGGCGGCCUUCUGGACAGUGACUGACGCUGAGACGCGAAAGCGUGGGGAGCAAACAGG